Molecule: ribosomal RNA, 280 nt
Filed under: uncultured bacterium
Lineage: Bacteria
Description: partial 16S ribosomal RNA
Rfam family: Bacterial small subunit ribosomal RNA
Source: RNAcentral
AUUGAACGCUGGCGGAAUGCUUUACACAUGCAAGUCGAACGGUAGAGGGGGCAACCCCCUUGAGAGUGGCGAACGGGUGAGUAAUAUAUCGGAACGUGCCCAGUCGUGGGGAUAACGUAGCGAAAGUUACGCUAAUACCGCAUACGAUCUACGGAUGAAAGCGGGGGGACUCGCAAGAGCCUCGCGCGAUUGGGANCGGCCAUAUCAGAUUAGGUAGUUGGUGGGGUAAAGGCUNACCAAGCCAACGAUCNGUAGCUGGUCUGAGAGACGACCAGGCCAC